CUGUGAUGUUUACGAAAAUGAGGAUGUUUACAAAAGACCUUCAAUAUAACAGAAAAGGAAAAUCGCUUCAGAUACGACCCAAUGAAAAUGAGAUUUUCGAUAUCCCAUCAAGUAAAUAUCGGCACAAGAGUUCAAUAACUGGAUUUGAAACACAGGACAACAUAAUGACGACUCCUAAAAUCAGUAGCGACUCCUAAAAUCAGUAGCCAAUGAUUUGUACUAUCGAAAUGAAUGAAACCAGUAAUAAUAGGCAAUCCCACACAAGAAUAGCCUCUCUUUGGGAUGGAAAUCCAGUAAAAACCGAGAUGGAAGGGUACAGUCUACGAUGGAGUCAGGCAUUUUAUCAUAUCGAAGCUGUGUAAAUAGAAUAACCUUUUCUUGAGAAGUGUACCUUGAGAUAUUG
Molecule: long non-coding RNA, 403 nt
Organism: Leptinotarsa decemlineata (Colorado potato beetle)
Lineage: Eukaryota; Metazoa; Arthropoda; Insecta; Coleoptera; Chrysomelidae
Source: RefSeq, a predicted model, not a curated record